ACGGGAGGCAGCAGUGGGGAAUAUUGCACAAUGGGGGAAACCCUGAUGCAGCGACGCCGCGUGAAGGAAGAAGUAUCUCGGUAUGUAAACUUCUAUCAGCAGGGAAGAAAAUGACGGUACCUGACUAAGAAGCCCCGGCUAACUACGUGCCAGCAGCCGCGGUAAUACGUAGGGGGCAAGCGUUAUCCGGAUUUACUGGGUGUAAAGGGAGCGUAGACGGAAUUGCAAGUCUGAUGUGAAAGGCAUGGGCUCAACCCGUGGACUGCAUUGGAAACUGUGAUUCUUGAGUGCCGGAGGGGUAAGCGGAAUUCCUGGUGUAGCGGUGAAAUGCGUAGAUAUCAGGAGGAACACCGGUGGCGAAGGCGGCUUGCUGGACGGCAACUGACGUUGAGGCUCGAAGGCGUGGGGAGCAAACAGGAUUAGAUACCCUGGUA
This 434-nucleotide ribosomal RNA is filed under the name uncultured Blautia sp. RNAcentral describes it as "bacterial SSU rRNA". It matches the Rfam family "Bacterial small subunit ribosomal RNA", at positions 341 to 792 of the family's 1533-position model. Lineage: Bacteria; Bacillati; Bacillota; Clostridia; Lachnospirales; Lachnospiraceae. The record is from RNAcentral.